Molecule: ribosomal RNA, 534 nt
Filed under: uncultured soil bacterium
Lineage: Bacteria
Description: bacterial SSU rRNA
Rfam family: Bacterial small subunit ribosomal RNA
Source: RNAcentral
AGGACGAACGCUGGCGGCGUGCUUAACACAUGCAAGUCGAGCGGUAAGGCCCUUUCGGGGGUACACGAGCGGCGAACGGGUGAGUAACACGUGAGUAAUCUGCCCUCCACUUGGGGAUAAGCUUCGGAAAACGGGGUCUAAUACCUGAUACGACAACUACCUGCAUGGGUUGGUUGUGGAAAGUUUUUUUCGGUGGGGGAUGUGCUCGCGGCCUAUCAGCUUGUUGGUGGGGUAAUGGCCUACCAAGGCUUCGACGGGUAGCCGGCCUGAGAGGGUGACCGGCCACACUGGGACUGAGACACGGCCCAGACUCCUACGGGAGGCAGCAGUGGGGAAUAUGGACAAUGGGCGAAGCCUGAUCAGCAACGCCGCGUGAGGGAUGACGGCCUUCGGGUUGUAACCUCUUCAGUACCGACGAAGCGCCCGUGUGGUGGUGACGGUAGGUACAGAAGAGCACCGCCAACGUACGUCGCCGAGCACGCCGACGUAAGUCCGUAGACGGCGGGUCGUCGGACGAACGGCGACGAGUACGAG